Molecule: ribosomal RNA, 450 nt
Filed under: uncultured bacterium
Lineage: Bacteria
Description: partial 16S ribosomal RNA
Rfam family: Bacterial small subunit ribosomal RNA
Source: RNAcentral
AGCGAACGCUGGCGGCAGGCCUAACACAUGCAAGUCGAACGGACCCUUCGGGGUUAGUGGCGGACGGGUGAGUAACACGUGGGAACGUGCCUUUAGGUUCGGAAUAGCUCCUGGAAACGGGUGGUAAUGCCGAAUGUGCCCUUCGGGGGAAAGAUUUAUCGCCUUUAGAGCGGCCCGCGUCUGAUUAGCUAGUUGGUGAGGUAACGGCUCACCAAGGCGACGAUCAGUAGCUGGUCUGAGAGGAUGACCAGCCACACUGGGACUGAGACACGGCCCAGACUCCUACGGGAGGCAGCAGUGGGGAAUCUUGCGCAAGGGGCGAAAGCCUGACGCAGCCAUGCCGCGUGAAUGAUGAAGGUCUUAGGAUUGUAAAAAUUCUUUCACCGGGGACGAUAAUGACGGUACCCGGAGAAGAAGCCCCGGCUAACUUCGUGCCAGCAGCCGCCGUAA